Alosa sapidissima (American shad) is the source of this 703-nucleotide long non-coding RNA. RefSeq lists it as uncharacterized. The record is from RefSeq and is a predicted model, not a curated record. Lineage: Eukaryota; Metazoa; Chordata; Actinopteri; Clupeiformes; Clupeidae. The transcript has 5 exons.
CACAGUUAUUAGCUUUUCCAGGCGAAAUGUCUUCCAUAUUUGCAGAUCCAGGAAAAGAGAUUGCUUUUGUGCUGGAUGGCUCUGGCAGUGUUGAUCCUCCUGACUUUGAAUUGGCUAAACAAUUUAUUGCUGAUGUAAUGACAACAGUUUGGUCAAAAUGUUUUAAUUGCAAGUUUGCAGUUGUGCAAUAUGGAAACUUUGUCAAAACUGAACUUUCACUGAAGGAAAAUGACAACAGAACCAAAGCCUUGACUACAGUUGCAGACAUAAAGCAAAUCAAACAGGUCACCAUGACAGCUUCAGCAAUCAAUCACGUUCUAGAACACAUUUUUGUCAAAGAAGAUGGAUCAAAUGAGAAUUCUAAAAAGUAUAUAAUUGUGAUAACUGAUGGACGUAUAUAUAUGGACAGAAUGACACUGAAAGAGGUUUUGCAAAACCCCAAAAUAGAAAAGAUCACCCGCUUUGCUAUUGGGAGAACAAUGCACAUCAACAAUCUUUCCCAUCCCUUCCACCUCACAGACACCAAUAAGGACAGAUGAUGUGGGUGAUGAUGAUGAAGAUGAUGAUGAAGACGAAGAGGAGAAAUAAGUUUGUCCAUGAUUUCCCUUUUAGAGAACAAUGCACAUCAUCAAGCUAUGAAUAAGGACUGAUGGUAAAUCUUAUCAUGUUUUCAAUACAAUGUAAUGCAUUUGACAACGUAAAC